This is a transfer RNA of Mesorhizobium australicum, 74 nucleotides long. It matches the Rfam family "tRNA". Rfam says of the family: Transfer RNA (tRNA) molecules are approximately 80 nucleotides in length. Their secondary structure includes four short double-helical elements and three loops (D, anti-codon, and T loops). The record is from Rfam. Lineage: Bacteria; Pseudomonadati; Pseudomonadota; Alphaproteobacteria; Hyphomicrobiales; Phyllobacteriaceae.
GGCGGAGUAGCUCAGUUGGUUAGAGCAGAGGAAUCAUAAUCCUUGUGUCGGGGGUUCAAAUCCCUCCUCCGCUA